CAGCAACGCUGCUAUCUGAAGUGUUCAAGCUUCCGCAGCAAGUGUCGAGCCCGGGCCAUACUGAAUAAGGCGAAUGGAAAGGUUCAGCUACGCCACGGAGCACACAAUCACACACGGGGCCAGCAGCAGCAGGCCAUGGCGCGGCGUAAUUCGAAGGAUUGAGCAAGUACCAAUCUCACUCUUACCAAAUAAACAAGAAGGACAGGGACAGGUGCUGGCCGAGUAUGUUCGGUCGAGGCGCGGCACCGGCCUGGUCUACUACGAGGGCAACACCUACACGCCCAACGAGAAGCUGCGCGAGGGCCAAAAGAGCCGUGAUUGGAAAUGCUCCAUGUACCACAAGGCCAAGUGUCGGGCCCGUCUCGUCACGCGUCACACACGAAUUGGAGAUCUCAUACACGUGACCAGCAGAUUGCACACGCAUCCCAGGAUGUACGACCACCUGCACAAAUCAGAAGACAAAGACUCACGCAAGCUCUUCCCAAAGCUUAGUCCGCACAAGAAAGAGUCCAAGUAGCCGCCACAUCGUCUCGUUUAAGACACAACACAGACCUGCGCCUACAACUAAAAUAAAUCAUUAUAACAUAAUUAAUUCGUAGCCAUUGGCAAACAUUUGCCAGUGCAGUAUGUAUUGGACGAAGCCGGCAAGACAAUGAAAAUGAGUCCGGUGUCCAUCAGGUUCAUCGAAGGACAACGAAAGUCGGUGCAGCUGGUGUGU
Molecule: RNA transcript, 718 nt
Organism: Drosophila persimilis
Lineage: Eukaryota; Metazoa; Arthropoda; Insecta; Diptera; Drosophilidae
Exons: 3
Source: RefSeq, a predicted model, not a curated record